This 590-nucleotide ribosomal RNA is filed under the name uncultured fungus. RNAcentral's name for it is "eukaryotic LSU rRNA". The stretch from base 244 to 397 matches the Rfam family "5.8S ribosomal RNA". Lineage: Eukaryota; Fungi. The record is from RNAcentral.
CUUGGUCAUUUAGAGGAAGUAAAAGUCGUAUWCAAGGUUUCCGUAGGUGAACCUGCGGAAGGAUCAUUACAGAAUUUUGAGAAUUGUGCUUAACUGCACUUUUCUUAUCUACACACGUGUUUUUGUUUUAUUCUUAAAACUUGCUUUGGCAGUGGCUGCUUAAUUGCUCUGCUGCCAGAGGACAAACUCAACCUAAAUUUUUUAUUUUAAACUAGUCAACUGAUUAUAUUUAUUAAUAGUCAAAACUUUCAACAACGGAUCUCUUGGUUCUCGCAUCGAUGAAGAACGCAGCGAAAUGCGAUAAGUAAUAUGUAUUGCAGAUAUUCGUGAAUCAUCGAAUCUUUGAACGCACAUUGCGCCCUCUGGUAUUCCGGAGGGCAUGCCUGUUUGAGCGUCAUUUCUCCCUCAAACCCCCGGGUUUGGUGAUGAGCAAUACGCCAGGUUUGCUUGAAAGUUAGGAGGAGUAUUUAUAACAAUGUAUUAGGUCUAACCACUCCAUUGUGCUUAAUAAAAGCUCCAAUCUAUAUUUCAAACUUCGACCUCAAAUCAGGUAGGAUUACCCGCUGAACUUAAGCAUAUCAAUAAGCGGA